This 465-nucleotide ribosomal RNA is filed under the name Vreelandella stevensii. Its description in RNAcentral is "partial 16S ribosomal RNA". It matches the Rfam family "Bacterial small subunit ribosomal RNA", at positions 338 to 795 of the family's 1533-position model. The record is from RNAcentral. Lineage: Bacteria; Pseudomonadati; Pseudomonadota; Gammaproteobacteria; Oceanospirillales; Halomonadaceae.
CCUACGGGUGGCUGCAGUGGGGAAUAUUGGACAAUGGGGGCAACCCUGAUCCAGCCAUGCCGCGUGUGUGAAGAAGGCCCUCGGGUUGUAAAGCACUUUCAGUGAGGAAGAACGCCUGGUGGUUAAUACCCAUCAGGAAAGACAUCACUCACAGAAGAAGCACCGGCUAACUCCGUGCCAGCAGGCGCGGUAAUACGGAGGGUGCGAGCGUUAAUCGGAAUUACUGGGCGUAAAGCGCGCGUAGGUGGCUUGAUAAGCCGGUUGUGAAAGCCCCGGGCUCAACCUGGGAACGGCAUCCGGAACUGUCAAGCUAGAGUGCAGGAGAGGAAGGUAGAAUUCCCGGUGUAGCGGUGAAAUGCGUAGAGAUCGGGAGGAAUACCAGUGGCGAAGGCGGCCUUCUGGACUGACACUGACACUGAGGUGCGAAAGCGUGGGUAGCAAACAGGAUUAGAUACCCGAGUAGUC